AUGCGCAAGCGGCCUGUCACAAGCGCCAGCGCUGAGCCCGGGCUCGCGUCACAGGAACAGCCACCGUUGCCUGGGGAACGAUCACAGUGGCUUCCCAAAGCAGCGGUCCUCUGUGGCAGUGCCUCAGCAACGGGCAACGGACUCUUUCUCCGCGCGAUCAUCGCUGAGUCCUGCGAUUUUAGGAAUCCGGCAGGCCGAGCCAGGCAGAAGAAAGAUCUGUCGGGGCUUCAGGGAUGUCCACGGCGCUCCCCAGGAAUCACCAAGUUGCUGCAGACCUGCCCAAACAGUGUGAGGGUGCCUCUCGUUGAAAGCCCUCUCGGCUGGAAUUUCCAAGUACGACCUGCCUGCCAAUGGCGGUGCUGCUCUGUGCCGAGGGGACUGGGAGCUGCAGAGAGUGAUGCAAGGGAGGAGAAGCCAGGCAUUUGCUGGCUGCACAGGAAGGGCCUUAGAUAACAAGCUCCUGGAGCUAUCCUGGGAUGUGGAGGAGACAGAGAAAGACCCUGCUUAUGAGUAAACAAGAUCAUUCUGCAACCAUCUUCAUCACACUCACAGCAGCCAAGCAAGCACCACCAGCAAAUGCUGAUUUCAUCCUAGAGCAGUCAGGGGGCCUGCCGUCCUGCUCCACGCCAAGGCAUCCCCCAGGCUGCCUGACUGACAGGGGGAAAGUGAGACUCCUGUGGGUGGGCAUCUUCUCAUGAGUUUCACUUGGUUUUUGGGCAUUAACUAACCUUUUGAAAUCAUUUGCUGACUUUCGAUUGAUUGCAAUAAUAUUCACAGAAAAUAAAACUCACCAUUUUAACCAUCUUAAAGUGUACAAAUCAGAGGUAUGUAGUAUAUUCACAAUGCCAUCCAAACAUCAAUGCUACCUAAUUCAGAAAGAUUUUCAUCACUCCAAGAGACACUCCAUGCCAUUAAGUGGCUACUCAACCCCCAGACAAUAAAAACCAUCAGUCCAUGUUUUGCCCCUAUGGAUCUACCUAUUCUGGACUUUCCUAGGAAUGGCAUCAUGCUGUGUGUGGCUCUCUGUGACUGGCUGUAUUCAAUUAGCACCGUGUUUCUGUUCUGUGGCAUGCACGCCUCAGCACUGCUUUUUCUUUAUGGCUCAGUGAGACCACACAGGAUGGAUGGACCACCGUUGGUUGUUCCCUCACUUGGCUAAGAAUACUGCUUCUAUUAAAGCGGUAUACAGGUGUUUAUAUAAAUGUAUUUUCAGUUUUCUCGAGUACACACUUGGAGGUGAACAUUACAUGUCACUACUUCCCAGGCACUGCCUCUAAAGGUGAUGUUUUAUGUUUACACAUACAGGGUUCUAUGAUUUCAUUCCAUUCUGGAAUAGUACUGAGCAAUAUAGGAGGGAAGAAUUUCUAGGUCUCUUCCCUUAUAUUAUGCAAUAUUGAAAACCUCUGUUGGGGAACAUCAUCUUUAUACAUAAGUUUUUCCAUAAACACACUCAUAUCAUAUGUAUGUGUGUGUGUUUAUUUACUUAUCUAUAUCUGUCUAUAUUCAUACAGAGUAACAAUAUAGAAAACAUUAUUGAUAGGCAAAGUCAAUGUAAAGAAUAUAAAAAGAAACUUCCAUACAUCUGACCUGUAGGCCUAUACGCCAUAUCCACAAUAGUACACAAAUAAAGCUACACUCUGACAUACAUCCUGCUGAAUGUUAUGUGUGUAAGAAAAGCAUUCAUUCCUGCUGCUCAUUUCUGUGAGUAGAAAACAUAUAAAGCCCACAGCAUCAUUCAGUGCCAGGUUGAUGUUAACCCUUCCUCCUUCCAGUGAGCACCAGGUCAGAGAUGAGCUGGCCCCAUUCCAAAGGCCUUCACACCAGAUCUGAGAAUGCUGACUUCUCUUCAGUGUUUUCAUCAAGG
This 1864-nucleotide long non-coding RNA is filed under the name Callithrix jacchus (white-tufted-ear marmoset). RNAcentral describes it as "lncRNA (ENSCJAG00000074943.1)". The record is from RNAcentral. Lineage: Eukaryota; Metazoa; Chordata; Mammalia; Primates; Cebidae.